RNAcentral lists this long non-coding RNA (828 nucleotides) under Anser brachyrhynchus (Pink-footed goose). RNAcentral's name for it is "lncRNA (ENSABRG00000014666.1)". The record is from RNAcentral. Lineage: Eukaryota; Metazoa; Chordata; Aves; Anseriformes; Anatidae.
GGAAUGCUUAACUUGGCUUGUCUCAGCUCUGUGAUCCUCAUAUUGGAGGAUGUUGUUGACCCAUGUUCCUGGAGUGCGCAGAAUAUCCUUGCUGCCCAGAGACCACAAGCAUGCCAGAGCCACGCACUGCUUGGAGCUCAUUGCAGAGGUGCUGGCAGUCCUGCUGCCUCCGUGUGGGAAGCUGCAUAGCUGCUACAGCACAAUCCUGUUGGUUUUACUGGUUACCUCUUCUGAACCUUUCCUGGUGGGCUUACAGCUCAUUGCUGUCUCAGAGGAACAGGAGAGCAGAGUCUGGCUGCUAAACAUAUGGAGCUCUUCAAGUCUCUCACUUGAUGCUCUUCCUGAACUGAAUCAUGGAAACGAAUUACGUUGCACCCAGCAUACCAUGGGGGGAAACAAGGGGAAUAUGUUUUGCACAGAAACAUUGUGCUUCAGCAGGGCUUGGGAGAGAAAGAAGAAGACGAGGAGAGGGAAGACUAGGCAGGGCAGGAGACAGAUAGCUCCUUAGGCAAACUGCAAAGAAAAUCAUCUGGGGAUGAAAACAGGACUGUGUGUGUCCCAUAGGUCUGUAGUUACUUAACUGCUGUUUUGAAAAAAAGGCACGGGGCAGAGACUGCUUAGAACAUAAUUAAUCUCCAACUGCAUCUGCUGGUGGUUUGACCCUAGCAGAUCCAGAAACUUACCUGGCAUGGACAGGCAGCGUGGUUCUCUGCGACUUGCCCAAGUUAUCAGACAGAGGCAUUUGGUCAUCAUCAUAACGUUCUGGAACAAAGAGGCUGUGCUGGGAAGAAAAAUAAAAUAGUUUUUAUUUCAUUCUCUGGAAAGGAA